Molecule: RNA transcript, 1635 nt
Organism: Pongo pygmaeus (Bornean orangutan)
Lineage: Eukaryota; Metazoa; Chordata; Mammalia; Primates; Hominidae
Gene: PRIM1
Gene name: DNA primase subunit 1
Exons: 14
Source: RefSeq, a predicted model, not a curated record
AAGCGCCUGCGCAGUCGCGGGGCCGCCGGCCGUGCUGUUCCCGCCAAUUCCUGUGGUAGUCCUUACCGUGUCGAGUUCCGCGCUCAAUGGAGACGUUUGACCCUACCGAGCUGCCCGAGCUGCUUAAACUUUAUUACCGGAGGCUCUUUCCCUACUCUCAGUACUAUCGCUGGCUCAACUACGGCGGAGUGAUAAAGAAUUACUUUCAACACCGUGAAUUUUCAUUCACAUUGAAAGAUGAUAUUUACAUUCGCUACCAAUCCUUCAACAACCAGAGUGAUCUGGAAAAGGAGAUGCAGAAAAUGAAUCCGUACAAGAUUGAUAUAGGCGCAGUAUAUUCCCACAGACCCAAUCAACACAAUACAGUGAAGCUGGGAGCUUUCCAGGCUCAGGAAAAAGAACUGGUAUUUGACAUUGACAUGACAGACUAUGACGAUGUGAGGAGAUGUUGUAGUUCUGCAGACAUAUGUCCUAAGUGCUGGACCCUCAUGACAAUGGCCAUACGCAUCAUUGACAGAGCAUUGAAGGAGGACUUUGGAUUUAAGCAUCGUCUCUGGGUAUAUUCUGGAAGGAGAGGUGUUCAUUGUUGGGUCUGUGAUGAAUCAGUUAGAAAAUUGUCUUCUGCAGUACGUUCUGGGAUAGUUGAAUAUUUGAGCCUUGUAAAGGGUGGUCAAGACGUUAAAAAGAAAGUUCACCUAAGUGAAAAAAUUCACCCUUUUAUCAGAAAAUCUAUAAACAUAAUAAAAAAAUACUUUGAAGAAUAUGCCUUGGUUAAUCAAGAUAUUCUCGAAAAUAAAGAAAGCUGGGAUAAGAUUUUAGCCCUUGUUCCUGAAACAAUUCAUGAUGAACUUCAACAAAGCUUCCAAAAGUCUCACAAUUCACUUCAGCGUUGGGAGCACUUGAAGAAAGUAGCCAGCAAAUGUCAGAAUAACAUCAAAAAUGACAAAUAUGGACCCUGGCUGGAGUGGGAGAUUAUGCUCCAGUACUGUUUUCCACGGCUGGAUAUCAAUGUCAGCAAAGGAAUCAAUCAUCUACUGAAGAGCCCUUUUAGUGUUCAUCCUAAAACAGGUCGCAUAUCUGUGCCUAUUGAUUUGCAGAAAGUGGACCAGUUUGAUCCAUUUACUGUUCCGACCAUAAGCUUCAUCUGCCGUGAAUUGGAUGCCAUUUCCACUAAUGAAGAGGAAAAAGAGGAGAAUGAAGCUGAAUCUGAUGUCAAACAUAGAACCAGAGAUUACAAGAAGACCAGUCUAGCACCUUAUGUGAAAGUUUUUGAACAUUUUCUUGAAAACCUGGAUAAAUCCCGAAAAGGAGAACUUCUUAAGAAGAGUGAUUUACAAAAAGAUUUCUGAAGACAGAGCUCCUCAAACCAUUGUGGAUAUCUUCUGCCUUCAACCACAGAUCAAAUACUUCAAGAGCCAUUUAAUAAAUACGGCAGAACUAUAAAUCGCGAGGUCGACUUAAUACCGCAGUCGCCACUUUGCGGACCGGAGGACGGAGUCUGCUUCGUUCUGAGAACUGCGUGGGUCCGCGCAGAGAGCUCCUGCCAGGCCUGCGCGUCCCGUUCUGAAUUCUUACCCUUAUUUGGACCUUGUCACCACCCCCGCCGUGGGAACGGCCUGACGGUCACCCGUCAAA